Long non-coding RNA from Brassica rapa (field mustard), 700 nucleotides. RefSeq lists it as uncharacterized. Lineage: Eukaryota; Viridiplantae; Streptophyta; Magnoliopsida; Brassicales; Brassicaceae. The record is from RefSeq and is a predicted model, not a curated record.
AACAUCAAAGCCCAAUCCUUAUUAAUACUCAAAAGUCAAAGAUGGUCUCCAGAUGCAGCUUCGAUUUAACCAUAGUUAGCUUAACACUUAACGGUCUUUUAGUACACUUAUUGUUCUUGGUUCUGGUUGGUCAGUCUUAUGUAACUUCUGCUUGGACUUGUUGCUAUUUUUCGCGCUCUGUGGCUCAAUACUUUCAGAUUUUUACCAAGGUUUCAGAAAUUUAUUUGAAUCAGGUUAUUUAUUAAAUGUGGUUGGAAGUUUUUCAGAUUCUUUGCGAUGAUCCUGGGACCUCUGUAUUCUUCCUCUAUGAGUGAUCACUGAUCACUUUCGUGUUCAAGGUAUACACACUUCAGUAAUACUCUAUCACACAGUUUUUUCCUCUAGAGUUUGGAUGACCUUGAAUGGACUUGUGGAAGAAAAAAAACAGAACAUAUUUUGGAUUUGAUUCUCAGUCACAGUUUUUUUCUCAAAACUAAAUCACAGCAAUUCACUAUUUUGUCAAGCCAAACCUACUAACUGUUACAAUGAUGCAGAAAGGAAAAAGAUCACGCUGAGACUUCACUUGAGUUGCAACACAAAUAGUUUGUGUUCAUCUUUCUUGUUUUCAGCUCGCUGAAGUCUGUAUCUUUUGCCCACUUGACCCUUCUGCUUCUGAUGGGUCAGAGGAUUCUUCUGUUGAGAUUCCAAUACUUUUCUUCAA